GAUGAACGCUGGCGGCGUGCCUAAUACAUGCAAGUCGAGCGAACAGACGAGGAGCUUGCUCCUUUGACGUUAGCGGCGGACGGGUGAGUAACACGUGGGUAACCUACCUAUAAGACUGGGAUAACUUCGGGAAACCGGAGCUAAUACCGGAUAAUAUUUCGAACCGCAUGGUUCGAUAGUGAAAGAUGGCUGUGCUAUCACUUAUAGAUGGACCUGCGCCGUAUUAGCUAGUUGGUAAGGUAACGGCUUACCAAGGCAACGAUACGUAGCCGACCUGAGAGGGUGAUCGGCCACACUGGAACUGAGACACGGUCCAGACUCCUACGGGAGGCAGCAGUAGGGAAUCUUCCGCAAUGGGCGAAAGCCUGACGGAGCAACGCCGCGUGAGUGAUGAAGGUCUUCGGAUCGUAAAACUCUGUUAUUAGGGAAGAACAAACGUGUAAGUAACUGUGCACGUCUUGACGGUACCUAAUCAGAAAGCCACGGCUAACUACGUG
RNAcentral lists this ribosomal RNA (497 nucleotides) under uncultured bacterium. Its description in RNAcentral is "partial 16S ribosomal RNA". It matches the Rfam family "Bacterial small subunit ribosomal RNA", at positions 28 to 507 of the family's 1533-position model. The record is from RNAcentral.